CCAAAGGCAGGCGUGCAGGGCCUUGGCUACUGCGCUAGGUCUGCUGAUGGCCACAAGCCUUUAGUCCCAGCUCUGCCUUAGCAGUGGGGGUGUCUGAAGGCUCAGGGGAUACACAGGUCCUCUAGGUUCCUGGGGAGAUGAUGAGUGAGAGUUUUGACCAGGAGUGGAUACUGAGGAGAGCAAAGAUCACCUGGUCCUCAUCAAGCCGGACUUCCAGAGGCAAAGCUCCUUAACUGAGGAAUUCAGAAGUAAUUAGUCUUCCCUAUUAUCCAAAGCAGGCAUCUGGUACCAGCCUUCUUUCCCCAAAAUUUAUAAGUAACUACAAUUUCUA
This 331-nucleotide long non-coding RNA is filed under the name Pan troglodytes (chimpanzee). Its description in RNAcentral is "long non-coding RNA NONPTRT003717". Lineage: Eukaryota; Metazoa; Chordata; Mammalia; Primates; Hominidae. The record is from RNAcentral.